Molecule: long non-coding RNA, 1080 nt
Organism: Armigeres subalbatus
Lineage: Eukaryota; Metazoa; Arthropoda; Insecta; Diptera; Culicidae
Exons: 3
Source: RefSeq, a predicted model, not a curated record
CAACCGCCACUUCGAAAAUAAAUCCAUCCCUGCGGAAAACGAAAGGCCCAUUCGCAAGGCGUCGCGGCAGCCUGACAAGAGUACCUAGGCCACAUCAGCAAAAAUUGAACGGCACUUUUUCGCUUCGUCUUCGCGAGUGGUAGCAUCGCCGCCAUCAUCAGGCGACAUCAACUAAAAGUGAAAAACUUUAGGCCACGAGGCGGAAUCACUUUGUGGCACGGUCGGAACGGUUACCUUUGCCAGCCAGAAGGUGUUCUCGAGGCGACGGCACUAAAUUCCGGAGUUCCUUCUGAGGAGAACGACUAAAGACUCCGAUGCAUGAAGUCUCCACUCGCCAGGAGUGUCAGAAGCCGUCUUAUAGAAGGUCAUGCAUCGAGAGCGGAUCACGUGGAAACGCAGAAACACUACAAUCGUCGGAACCCAGACACGAAACGGUCUAAGUAGUUGGUCAGCAACCAGAUAGACCGAAAAUACCCCAUCUAACGGGGUGUUUUUGAAGGACUAACGUUUGGCUUGGCUGCGAUUUGGUCAGACUGUUAGCUUGCGUGACCGCUACUCCACCGGAUUACAGUUUCGUCGGAAAGGUUGUGCAUAUCUGCCGGACGGGUAGAAGGAUAGGAUCACUUGACAGUCGCCGUCGAGUCGCGGAUCGGUUUUGUCGGGUCAUUGCGGAAGACGGUGACCGCUGUCUUCGGAUAGCUUCUCCCAACCCACCGGACGAUCAGAUCGUUGGCUUUUGAAGGAACCGAACCGGAGGCGGAAGCAGGACGAGAACGCUAAUGGUGCGAAAAUCUCGACGAGGGAAUCAGACGCCUCGGAGAGAUCCCAUCCAGCAACGCGGUCGCACUGGACGGCCAGAGGGGUCUCCAGCGGAGGACGUUCGUCGGACGAGUGGCGCGAUGGCAGUGUGUGCGAGGCGGGCAAUCCCGGCGACAUGUGAGCCGUCAGAAAGUUGGUAGGCCAGGGUGCACCCAAGAAGAAAAUUCGUGAGUACGCAUGAGGUUAGCUUGUAAGCAGAAGAUUUAGAGAACAUUAGGGAACAUUAGAUGACAGGAGCAGUAGAAGAAACAUCAAUGAGCU